AAUUUUCUGUGAACUGUCAAGUAAGGUUAAAGAAGUUUGCCUCUGAACAAAACUAAUAAUAUACCUUACAUUUGAAACAAAAAAGAGUGAUAAAGCGCGGCACACUGCGGCUAUAAAUCAACAUGGUGGAGGAUAGUGCACAACCAUUUUGUCGACAAAUGACGAUGAGUAUUAAUGAUCAAUUGAUCAUGCGUUCAUAGAGUGCUUUAGCUAGUCACAGCUAAUUGGGUUUCUUACGAUGAAAUUUAUUCAGACCUAAGUUCUUGAUUUAGUAUGAGCGUUGUAUUUUUAAUUUUUUUUUGAUAUUUUCUUAGUAUUAUGUGUCGUGUGUGGUGACUUGUGGAGGUGUUCAUUAUGGUAGGUUUGCGUGAGCAUGUUUAUAUGAGUCAUGAGUGGAUGAUGUAUGAGCUAUGGACAUUCGCUUGGUCUACUGAUCCACGUAGUAACGCAUGGACGGUGCUGCAUGAGACGAAAAGAAGUGCAAUAACCAAUAGUUCUGAGAGAUUUUUUUUCUGUUGCAAUUAGUCAAUCACAUCGAUGGUUUUGCAAUUAAUGAGAUGCUAAUGCGACGAGGUGAUGGCAGGCAUUCCCUUUUCAUGGCCUCGGGGAGCCAGUGGUAGGCACGUGCAAAAGCCACUCGCCCAUGCAACGCGGCGCCCUGCAUGCACCGCUCUAUCGCUUGCCUCCGCCUCCCAUCCACCACCUGGCUUCAAUUCCACGCCACCACACGCAAUUCUCCAUUCGUUCCACAGAUAAAUACAUUUUUUAAAAUUUUAUGUUUAACUAUUCGUCUUAUUUAAAAACUUUUAAUAAAUAUUAUUUAUUUUUUAUGACUUAUUUUAUUAUUAGAUAUAUUUUUAUAAAAAUUUAAAUAAGAUAAGUGAUCAAACAUAAAUUGUGCCAGUUAAAAAAUAUAUUUAUUUAUAGGACAGAGAGUAGGCUUUGUUUAGUUUUGAAAUUUUUUAGUUUGAUUAUUUUAAUAUUUUUAUUUGUAUUUGAUAAUUAUUAUUUGACCAUAGACAAAUUAAGCUUAAAAGAUUUAUCUCGCAAAUUACCGAUACCGUAUAAUUAAUUAUUUUUUAUUUAUAUUUAAUAUUUUAUGUAUAUGCCUAAAAGUUUGAUGUG
RNAcentral lists this long non-coding RNA (1125 nucleotides) under Sorghum bicolor (sorghum). RNAcentral's name for it is "long non-coding RNA (SBIC_LNC005407)". Lineage: Eukaryota; Viridiplantae; Streptophyta; Magnoliopsida; Poales; Poaceae. The record is from RNAcentral.